Molecule: long non-coding RNA, 233 nt
Filed under: Phoenix dactylifera (date palm)
Lineage: Eukaryota; Viridiplantae; Streptophyta; Magnoliopsida; Arecales; Arecaceae
Description: long non-coding RNA (PDAC_LNC004626)
Source: RNAcentral
CAUCAGGUUACUAAACCGGGUCAACACAAUCUCCUCCUUAUAUGAAAGAUUACAACCAGGAGAGAGACAAGUUCAAAGUCUGUUUUGAGAAAAGAAUUAUUUACCUCUUACCAUAUUUUAAAUUUAUUUCAAUGUUUAUUCAAUUUUAUGGUAAAGUAUGUAUUUACUAGUUUAAGAACAUUGAUAAGUGCUAUGAAAAGAUAACUAAAUUAUAAAUUAUUCAGCACUUAUCA